RNAcentral lists this long non-coding RNA (598 nucleotides) under Salmo salar (Atlantic salmon). Its description in RNAcentral is "lncRNA (ENSSSAG00000095461.1)". The record is from RNAcentral. Lineage: Eukaryota; Metazoa; Chordata; Actinopteri; Salmoniformes; Salmonidae.
CAAAGGGAGUGACAGAUUUAGGGAAGGUAAUCAGGUAGGAAGAACCAAAGGGAGUGACAGAUUUAGGGAAGGUAAUCAGACAGGAAGUACCAAAGGGAGUGACAGAUUUAGGGAAGGUAAUCAGACAGGAAGAACCAAAGGGAGUGACAGAUUUAGGGAAGGUAAUCAGGUAGGAAGAACCAAAGGGAGUGACAGAUUUAGGGAAGGUAAUCAGGUAGGAAGAACCAAAGGGAGUGACAGAUUUAGGGAAGGUAAUCAGACAGGAAGAACCAAAGGGAGUGACAGAUUUAGGGAAGGUAAUCAGACAGGAAGAACCAAAGGGAGUGACAGAUUUAGGGAAGGUAAUCAGACAGGAAGAACCAAAGGGAGUGACAGAUUUAGGGAAGGUAAUCAGACAGGAAGAACCAAAGGGAGUGACAGAUUUAGGGAAGGUAAUCAGACAGGAAGAACCAAAGGGAGUGACAGAUUUAGGGAAGGUAAUCAGGCAGGUUAUGGAGUCCAGGUGAGGCUGAUGAGGCGCUGGUGUGCUAACGAUAGUGACAGGUAAGCGUCAUAAUGAGCGGCCUGGUGACCUGGCGCGCCGGAGAGGGAUUAUGGG